Molecule: ribosomal RNA, 441 nt
Filed under: uncultured bacterium
Lineage: Bacteria
Description: bacterial SSU rRNA
Rfam family: Bacterial small subunit ribosomal RNA
Source: RNAcentral
AACGCGAAGAACCUUACCUGGGCUCGAAAUGCUAUGGACCGGGGUGGAAACAUCCCUUCCCCGCAAGGGGCCGUAGUAUAGGUGCUGCAUGGCUGUCGUCAGCUCGUGUCGUGAGAUGUUGGGUUAAGUCCCGCAACGAGCGCAACCCUUACUUCCAGUUGCCAUCAUUUAGUUGGGCACUCUGGCAGAACCGCCUCGGAUAACGGGGAGGAAGGUGGGGAUGACGUCAAGUCCUCAUGGCCUUUAUGUCCAGGGCUACACACGUGCUACAAUGGCCGGUACAAACCGUCGCAAACCCGCGAGGGGGAGCUAAUCGGAAAAAGCCGGCCUCAGUUCGGAUUGGAGUCUGCAACUCGACUCCAUGAAGCUGGAAUCGCUAGUAAUCGCGGAUCAGAACGCCGCGGUGAAUACGUUCCCGGGCCUUGUACACACCGAGACGAC